This 465-nucleotide ribosomal RNA is filed under the name uncultured bacterium. Its description in RNAcentral is "partial 16S ribosomal RNA". It matches the Rfam family "Bacterial small subunit ribosomal RNA", at positions 28 to 507 of the family's 1533-position model. The record is from RNAcentral.
GACGAACGCUGGCGGCGUGCUUAACACAUGCAAGUCGAACGGAAAGGCCCCUUUGGGGGUACUCGAGUGGCGAACGGGUGAGUAACACGUGAGUAACCUGCCCUUGACUUCGGGAUAACUUCAGGAAACUGGGGCUAAUACCGGAUAGGAAUCCUUGCUGCAUGGUGGGGGUUGGAAAGCUUCGGCGGUUUUGGAUUGACUCGCGGCUUAUCAGCUUGUUGGUGGGGUAGUGGCUUACCAAGGCUUUGACGGGUAGCCGGCCUGAGAGGGCGACCGGCCACAUUGGGACUGAGAUACGGCCCAGACUCCUACGGGAGGCAGCAGUGGGGAAUAUUGCACAAUGGGCGGAAGCCUGAUGCAGCAACGCCGCGUGCGGGAUGACGGCCUUCGGGUUGGAAACCGCUUUCAGCAGGGGCGAAGCUUGUGGUGACGGUACCUGCAGAAGAAGCACCGGCUAACUACGUG